AGAGUUUGAUCCUGGCUCAGAAUCAACGCUGGCGGCGUGCCUAACACAUGCAAGUCGAACGCGAAAGCCCCGCAAGGGGUAAGUAGCGUGGCAAACGGGUGAGUAACACGUGGGUGACCUGCCUUCGAGUGGGGGAUAACGUUCCGAAAGGGACGCUAAUACCGCAUGACAUCCUGCCUUUGAACAGGCGGAGAUCAAAGCUGGGGAUCGCAAGACCUAGCGCUGGAAGAGGGGCCCGCGCCUGAUUAGCUAGUUGGUGGGGUAAUGGCUCACCAAGGCAACGAUCAGUAUCCGGCCUGAGAGGGCGGACGGACACACUGGGACUGAGACACGGCCCAGACUCCUACGGGAGGCAGCAGUGGGGAAUUGUUCGCAAUGGGCGCAAGCCUGACGACGCAACGCCGCGUGGAGGAUGAAGACCUUCGGGUCGUAAACUCCUUUCGAUCGAGACGAAUGGCCUCCGGGUGAACAAUCCGGAGGAAUGACGGUACCGAGAGAAGAAGCCCCGGCUAACUCCGUGCCAGCAGCCGCGGUAAUACGGGGGGGGCAAGCGUUGUUCGGAAUUACUGGGCGUAAAGGGCUCGUAGGUGGCCAACUAAGUCAGACGUGAAAUCCCUCGGCUUAACCGGGGAACUGCGUCUGAUACUGGAUGGCUCGAGUUCGGGAGAGGGAUGCGGAAUUCCAGGUGUAGCGGUGAAAUGCGUAGAUAUCUGGAGGAACACCGGUGGCGAAGGCGGCAUCCUGGACCGACACUGACACUGAGGAGCGAAAGCCAGGGGAGCAAACGGGAUUAGAUACCCCGGUAGUCC
RNAcentral lists this ribosomal RNA (809 nucleotides) under uncultured bacterium. Its description in RNAcentral is "bacterial SSU rRNA". It matches the Rfam family "Bacterial small subunit ribosomal RNA", at positions 8 to 796 of the family's 1533-position model. The record is from RNAcentral.